Molecule: ribosomal RNA, 160 nt
Filed under: uncultured bacterium
Lineage: Bacteria
Description: partial 16S ribosomal RNA
Rfam family: Bacterial small subunit ribosomal RNA
Source: RNAcentral
CCUACGGGAGGCAGCAGUGGGGAAUAUUGCACAAUGGGGGGGAACCCUGAUGCAGCGACGCCGCGUGGAGGAAGAAGGUCUUCGGAUUGUAAACUCCUGUUGUUGAGGAAGAUAAUGACGGUACUCAACAAGGAAGUGACGGCUAACUACGUGCCAGCAG